RNAcentral lists this transfer RNA (78 nucleotides) under Alosa alosa (allis shad). RNAcentral describes it as "tRNA-OTHER". It matches the Rfam family "tRNA". From Rfam's summary of the family: Transfer RNA (tRNA) molecules are approximately 80 nucleotides in length. Their secondary structure includes four short double-helical elements and three loops (D, anti-codon, and T loops). The record is from RNAcentral. Lineage: Eukaryota; Metazoa; Chordata; Actinopteri; Clupeiformes; Clupeidae.
GCUAGGAUGGCCGAGUGGUUAAGGCGUUGGAGCCAAUAGAUGUUUGUAUCCUCGUGGGUUCGACCCCCACUCCUAGCA